This 406-nucleotide ribosomal RNA is filed under the name uncultured bacterium. RNAcentral's name for it is "partial 16S ribosomal RNA". It matches the Rfam family "Bacterial small subunit ribosomal RNA", at positions 30 to 526 of the family's 1533-position model. The record is from RNAcentral.
AUUGAACGCUGGCGGCAGGCCUUACACAUGCAAGUCGAGCGAGCGGCGGACGGGUGAGUAAUGUAUCGGGAUCUGCCCGAUAGAGGGGGAUAACUACUUGAAACGGUUGCUAAUCCCGCAUACUAUCGGAUUCCCCCAUAUGGGAUUAGCUAGUAGGUGGGGUAAAGGCUCACCUAGGCGACGAUCUCUAGCUGGUCUGAGAGGAUGAUCAGCCACACUGGGACUGGGACACGGCCCAGACUCCGACGGGAGGCAGCAGUGGGGAAUAUUGGACAAUGGGCGCAAGCCUGAUGCAGCCAUGCCGCGUGUAUGAAGAAGGCCUUCGGGUUGUAAAGUACUUUCAGCGGGGAGGCGUUACCCGCAGAAGAAGCACCGGCUAACUCCGUGCCAGCAGCCGCGGUAAUAC